GAAAUGCGAUAAGUAAUGUGAAUUGCAGAAUUCAGUGAAUCAUCGAAUCUUUGAACGCACCUUGCGCUCCUUGGUAUUCCUUGGAGCAUGCCUGUUUGAGUAUCAUAAAUCUUCAAAGUAAAUCUUUUGUUAACUCAAUUGGUUUCUACUUUGGUAUUGGAGGUCUUUGCAGCUUCACACCUGCUCCUCUUUGUUCAUUAGCUGGAUCUCAGUGUUAUGCUUGGUUCCACUCGGCGUGAUAAGUUAUCUAUCGCUGAGGACACUGUAAAAGGUGGCCAAGGUAAAUGCAGAUGAACCGCUUCUAAUAGUCCAUUGACUUGGACAAUACUUUUAUGAUCUGAUCUCAAAUCAGGUAGGACUACCCGCUGAACUUAAGC
This 377-nucleotide unclassified non-coding RNA is filed under the name plant metagenome. Its description in RNAcentral is "partial contains 5.8S ribosomal RNA, internal transcribed spacer 2, and large subunit ribosomal RNA". The stretch from base 1 to 105 matches the Rfam family "5.8S ribosomal RNA", at positions 50 to 154 of the family's 154-position model. The record is from RNAcentral.